Molecule: long non-coding RNA, 616 nt
Organism: Monodelphis domestica (gray short-tailed opossum)
Lineage: Eukaryota; Metazoa; Chordata; Mammalia; Didelphimorphia; Didelphidae
Source: RefSeq, a predicted model, not a curated record
CUUCCGGGUGUCCUAGGAGAGAGGAGCUUGUUCAGCCCAGUUUGGAGUGGCAUGCUUCUCUUGGUUCAGCCCAAAGACACAGGCUUCUAAAGGUAUCAAAAUGUUUGUGUACAAGAGGGAGAACAGCAGAAGUCUUGGACAAAGCACUAUAGACAAGCUAUGUAAUUCAAUUUCCAGAAGUUUUCUCAAAUGUCCAAAAGUUAGCCCUUGCAAUGGAUAAUGGUAAAGAGUGAUAGAAAUUACUAGAAGAUAUCAUUUCAGGAAAAGAAACAAAGGCAUGAAGGAAUCUGAAGAGAUGAGGGGAAAUAUAGCAAACAGGAGUAAAGUCAUUAUUGGCAGAGAAGAGUUUUGCUUAAAAAGCUUGAGAAUUCAUUUGUGAAAUUCAGAUGUUUAAUGAUGUAUAAGUACCUGUGGUAGAGAAGAAAUUGAGAAAUAUCACCCCAACCCAAGGAAAUUGUGUAAUAUUAUGAUGCUGCUUAAUUUUUAAAUGUGGAAAAUGAAAAUAGCAAACUUCAAACUUUAAUUUUCUGUAUAUGAUGACUUCACUAAUAUUAUCAAAUAAACUUUUAUUAUUCAUAAUGAAUCUUUUUCAUCUUUUAAAAAUAUAUAAUUAAAG